CCCUUAGAUGUUCUGGGCCGCACGCGCGCUACACUGAUGCAUUCAACGAGCCUAUCCUUGACCGACAGGUCCGGGUAAUCUUUGAAUCUGCAUCGUGACGGGGAUAGAUUAUUGCAAUUAUUAAUCUUGAACGAGGAAUGCCUUGUAAACGCGAAUCAUCAGUUCGCAUUGAAUACGUCCCUGCCCUUUGUACACACCGCCCGUCGCACCUACCGAUUGAAUGUUUCGGUGAAGACUCGGGAUUGCGCCAAUGUCGUUUAUUCGGCGCUGGCGUGAGAACUUGUCUAAACCUCAACAUUUAGAGGAAGGUGAAGUCGUAACA
Molecule: ribosomal RNA, 322 nt
Filed under: uncultured eukaryote
Lineage: Eukaryota
Description: partial 18S ribosomal RNA
Rfam family: Eukaryotic small subunit ribosomal RNA
Source: RNAcentral